CGCUGGCGGCGUGCCUAAUACAUGCAAGUCGAACGGUCUUUCUAUGGAAGCUUGCUUCCACUGAGAAGAUAGUGGCGAACGGGUGAGUAACACGUGGGUAACCUGCCCAUAAGAGGGGGGAGUAACAUCCGGAAACGGGUGCUAAUACCGCAUAGUUUUCUUGAUCGCAUGAUUGAGAAAGGAAAGACGGCCUUUGUGCUGUCGCUUAUGGAUGGACCCGCGGCGUAUUAGUUAGUUGGUGAGGUAACGGCUCACCAAGACGAUGAUACGUAGCCGACCUGAGAGGGUGAUCGGCCACAUUGGGACUGAGACACGGCCCAAACUCCUACGGGAGGCAGCAGUAGGGAAUCUUCCGCAAUGGACGAAAGUCUGACGGAGCAACGCCGCGUGAGUGAAGAAAAGGGUUUUCGGAUCGUAAAACUCUGUUGUCAGAGAAGAACAAGUUGGAGAGUAACUGCUCCAGCCUUGACGGUAUCUGACCAGAAAGCCACGGCUAACUACGUGCCAGCCGCAGC
RNAcentral lists this ribosomal RNA (515 nucleotides) under uncultured bacterium. RNAcentral's name for it is "bacterial SSU rRNA". It matches the Rfam family "Bacterial small subunit ribosomal RNA", at positions 34 to 518 of the family's 1533-position model. The record is from RNAcentral.